Molecule: ribosomal RNA, 1519 nt
Filed under: metagenome
Description: bacterial SSU rRNA
Rfam family: Bacterial small subunit ribosomal RNA
Source: RNAcentral
AGAGUUUGAUCCUGGCUCAGGACGAACGCUGGCGGCGUGCCUAAUACAUGCAAGUCGAGCGGACAGGUGGGAGCUUGCUCCCUGAUGUUAGCGGCGGACGGGUGAGUAACACGUGGGUAACCUGCCUGUAAGACUGGGAUAACUCCGGGAAACCGGGGCUAAUACCGGAUGGUUGUUUGAACCGCAUGGUUCAAACAUAAAAGGUGGCUUCGGCUACCACUUACAGAUGGACCCGCGGCGCAUUAGCUAGUUGGUGAGGUAACGGCUCACCAAGGCAACGAUGCGUAGCCGACCUGAGAGGGUGAUCGGCCACACUGGGACUGAGACACGGCCCAGACUCCUACGGGAGGCAGCAGUAGGGAAUCUUCCGCAAUGGACGAAAGUCUGACGGAGCAACGCCGCGUGAGUGAUGAAGGUUUUCGGAUCGUAAAGCUCUGUUGUUAGGGAAGAACAAGUACCGUUCGAACAGGGCGGUACCUUGACGGUACCUAACCAGAAAGCCACGGCUAACUACGUGCCAGCAGCCGCGGUAAUACGUAGGUGGCAAGCGUUUUCCGGAAUUAUUGGGCGUAAAGGGCUCGCAGGCGGUUUCUUAAGUCUGAUGUGAAAGCCCCCGGCUCAACCGGGGAGGGUCAUUGGAAACUGGGGAACUUGAGUGCAGAAGAGGAGAGUGGAAUUCCACGUGUAGCGGUGAAAUGCGUAGAGAUGUGGAGGAACACCAGUGGCGAAGGCGACUCUCUGGUCUGUAACUGACGCUGAGGAGCGAAAGCGUGGGGAGCGAACAGGAUUAGAUACCCUGGUAGUCCACGCCGUAAACGUUGAGUGCUAAGUGUUAGGGGGUUUCCGCCCCUUAGUGCUGCAGCUAACGCAUUAAGCACUCCGCCUGGGGAGUACGGUCGCAAGACUGAAACUCAAAGGAAUUGACGGGGGCCCGCACAAGCGGUGGAGCAUGUGGUUCAAUUCGAAGCAACGCGAAGAACCUUACCAGGUCUUGACAUCCUCUGACAAUCCUAGAGAUAGGACGUCCCCUUCGGGGGCAGAGUGACAGGUGGUGCAUGGUUGUCGUCGGCUCGUGUCGUGAGAUGUUGGGUUAAGUCCCGCAACGAGCGCAACCCUUGAUCUUAGUUGCCAGCAUUCAGUUGGGCACUCUAAGGUGACUGCCGGUGACAAACCGGAGGAAGGUGGGGAUGACGUCAAAUCAUCAUGCCCCUUAUGACCUGGGCUACACACGUGCUACAAUGGACAGAACAAAGGGCAGCGAAACCGCGAGGUUAAGCCAAUCCCACAAAUCUGUUCUCAGUUCGGAUCGCAGUCUGCAACUCGACUGCGUGAAGCUGGAAUCGCUAGUAAUCGCGGAUCAGCAUGCCGCGGUGAAUACGUUCCCGGGCCUUGUACACACCGCCCGUCACACCACGAGAGUUUGUAACACCCGAAGUCGGUGAGGUAACCUUUUAGGAGCCAGCCGCCGAAGGUGGGACAGAUGAUUGGGGUGAAGUCGUAACAAGGUAGCCGUAUCGGG